Molecule: ribosomal RNA, 253 nt
Filed under: uncultured bacterium
Lineage: Bacteria
Description: partial 16S ribosomal RNA
Rfam family: Bacterial small subunit ribosomal RNA
Source: RNAcentral
UACGAAGGGUGCAAGCGUUACUCGGAAUUACUGGGCGUAAAGCGUGCGUAGGUGGUUCGUUACGUCUGAUGUGAAAGCCCUGGGCUCAACCUGGGGAUGGCAUUGGAUAAUGGCGACCUAGAGUGCGGUAGAGGGUAGCGGAAUUCCCGGUGUAGCAGUGAAAUGCGUAGAUAUCGGGAGGAACAUCCGUGGCGAAGGCGGCUACCUGGACCAGCACUGACACUGAGGCACGAAAGCGUGGGGAGCAAACAGG